This 72-nucleotide transfer RNA is filed under the name Camelus bactrianus (Bactrian camel). It matches the Rfam family "tRNA". Rfam says of the family: Transfer RNA (tRNA) molecules are approximately 80 nucleotides in length. Their secondary structure includes four short double-helical elements and three loops (D, anti-codon, and T loops). Further hydrogen bonds mediate the characteristic L-shaped molecular structure. tRNAs have two regions of fundamental functional importance: the anti-codon, which is responsible for specific mRNA codon recognition, and the 3' end, to which the tRNAs corresponding amino acid is attached (by aminoacyl-tRNA synthetases). tRNAs cope with the degeneracy of the genetic code in two manners: having more than one tRNA (with a specific anti-codon) for a particular amino acid; and 'wobble' base-pairing, i.e. permitting non-standard base-pairing at the 3rd anti-codon position. The record is from Rfam by way of RNAcentral. Lineage: Eukaryota; Metazoa; Chordata; Mammalia; Artiodactyla; Camelidae. RNAcentral also lists the same sequence under 3 other names.
GAGGGUAUAGCUCAGUGGUGGAGCACAUGCUUAGCAUGCAUGAGGUCCUGGGUUCAUUCCCCAGUGCCUUCA